AUGCAAGUCGAGCGGUAAGGCCCUUCGGGGUACACGAGCGGCGAACGGGUGAGUAACACGUGAGCAACCUGCCCCUGACUCCGGGAUAAGCGGUGGAAACGCCGUCUAAUACCGGAUACGACCCUUGGCCUCCUGGCCGGGGGUGGAAAGUUUUUCGGUUGGGGAUGGGCUCGCGGCCUAUCAGCUUGUUGGUGGGGUAACGGCCUACCAAGGCGAUUACGGGUAGCCGGCCUGAGAGGGCGACCGGCCACACUGGGACUGAGACACGGCCCAGACUCCUGCGGGAGGCAGCAGUGGGGAAUAUUGCGCAAUGGGCGAAAGCCUGACGCAGCGACGCCGCGUGGGGGAUGACGGCCUUCGGGUUGUAAACCUCUUUUACCACCAACGCAGGCUCGGAGUUUUCUUCGGGUUGACGGUAGGUGGGGAAUAAGGACCGGCUAACUACGUGCCAGCAGCCGCGGUAAUACGUAGGGUCCGAGCGUUGUCCGGAAUUAUUGGGCGUAAAGAGCUCGUAGGCGGCGUGUCGCGUCUGCUGUGAAAGACCGGGGCUUAACUCCGGUUUGGCAGUGGAUACGGGCAUGCUAGAGGUAGGUAGGGGAGACUGGAAUUCCUGGUGUAGCGGUGAAAUGCGCAGAUAUCAGGAGGAACACCGGUGGC
RNAcentral lists this ribosomal RNA (657 nucleotides) under Nocardiopsis sp. Its description in RNAcentral is "bacterial SSU rRNA". It matches the Rfam family "Bacterial small subunit ribosomal RNA", at positions 55 to 716 of the family's 1533-position model. Lineage: Bacteria; Bacillati; Actinomycetota; Actinomycetes; Streptosporangiales; Nocardiopsidaceae. The record is from RNAcentral.